This 29-nucleotide small RNA is filed under the name Bombyx mori (domestic silkworm). RNAcentral describes it as "piRNA piR-bmo-1451057". Lineage: Eukaryota; Metazoa; Arthropoda; Insecta; Lepidoptera; Bombycidae. The record is from RNAcentral.
UAAGCCGUACACAGCUUUAUUUAGCCUGU